This 73-nucleotide transfer RNA is filed under the name Fidelibacterota bacterium. RNAcentral's name for it is "tRNA-Phe". It matches the Rfam family "tRNA". Rfam says of the family: Transfer RNA (tRNA) molecules are approximately 80 nucleotides in length. Their secondary structure includes four short double-helical elements and three loops (D, anti-codon, and T loops). Lineage: Bacteria; Pseudomonadati; Fidelibacterota. RNAcentral also lists the same sequence under 1 other name. The record is from RNAcentral.
GGCUUGGUAGCUCAGUUGGUAGAGCAGAGGACUGAAAAUCCUUGUGUCGGCAGUUCAAUUCUGUCCCAAGCCA